GAAUAUUGGACAAUGGGGGCAACCCUGAUCCAGCCAUGCCGCGUGUGUGAAGAAGGCUUUCGGGUUGUAAAGCACUUUCAGUGAGGAGGAAAAGUUGGUCGUUAAUACCGGCCAGCCUUGACGUUACUCACAGAAGAAGCCCCGCCUAACUCCGUGCCAGCAGCCGCGGUAAUACGGAGGGUGCAAGCGUUAAUCGGAAUUACUGGGCGUAAAGCGCGCGUAGGUGGUUUGAUAAGCGAGAUGUGAAAGCCCCGGGCUUAACCUGGGAACGGCAUUUCGAACUGUCAGGCUAGAGUGUGGUAGAGGGUAGUGGAAUUUCCUGUGUAGCGGUGAAAUGCGUAGAUAUAGGAAGGAACACCAGUGGCGAAGGCGGCUACCUGGACCAACACUGACACUGAGACGCGAAAGCAUGGGGAGCGAACGGG
RNAcentral lists this ribosomal RNA (425 nucleotides) under uncultured bacterium. Its description in RNAcentral is "bacterial SSU rRNA". It matches the Rfam family "Bacterial small subunit ribosomal RNA", at positions 359 to 776 of the family's 1533-position model. The record is from RNAcentral.